UCCUACGGGGGGCAGCAGUGGGGGAUAUUGCACAAUGGGGGAAACCCUGAUGCAGCGACGCCGCGUGGGUGAAGAAGCGCCUCGGCGCGUAAAGCCCUGUCAGCAGGGAAGAAAAAAAUGACGGUACCUGAGUAAGAAGCCCCGGCUAACUACGUGCCAGCAGCCGCGGUAAUACGUAGGGGGCAAGCGUUAUCCGGAUUUACUGGGAGUAAAGGGGGCGCAGACGGCGAUGCAAGCCAGGAGUGAAGGCCCGGGGCCCAACCCCGGGACUGCUCUUG
This 278-nucleotide ribosomal RNA is filed under the name uncultured bacterium. Its description in RNAcentral is "partial 16S ribosomal RNA". It matches the Rfam family "Bacterial small subunit ribosomal RNA", at positions 337 to 629 of the family's 1533-position model. The record is from RNAcentral.